GCCUUCGUAGUGUAAUGGCCAGCACACUUGGUUCGUAUUUGAGAGGUCCUAAGUUCGAGUCCCGGUGAAGGCA
This is a non-coding RNA of Stegodyphus mimosarum, 73 nucleotides long. The record is from Rfam. NCBI's taxonomy places the organism in Eukaryota, Metazoa, Arthropoda, Arachnida, Araneae, Eresidae.